CUAAAUCCUUUUUGUAAUAAUGACACAAAUAUAAGAAACAAUAUUGACUUAUUGUUCCUGGAAAAAACGGUGAUAUUUUCACAAUACGAGGGCCUAUUGGAGGGCAAGUCUGGUGCCAGCAUUAAAUAUAUUAAAGUUAUUGCAAUUAUAACGUUUGUAGUUAAACGUGUUCAUCAUACUAUAAUUUAUAAUUUUAUAUAAAUUUAUUUUGUACUAUACUCUACGUCCGUAAGUGGCGUUCUUAUGUACUUGUAUUUAUGUAUGUUAAUCCUAAUUAAAUCUGGUUCAUUGAGCUUAAAUCUGGCUCCAAAUGUCUGAAUAUCAAUGACGUUCUACCUAUUUUACCUGGUUAAGUGCCCUUGUUAUGGGUCGGUACCAUUACUUUGAAAAAAUUCGAGUGCUUAAGCAGUCUCCAAAUGCCUGAAUAUUUUGUGCAUGGAAUAAUAUAAUUAGAUCUCUGUUCUACUUUCAUUGGUUUUUAGAUCAAGAGGUAAUGAUUAAUAGAAGCAGUUUGGGGAGCAUUAGUAUUACAACGUGAGAGGUGAAAUUCUUGAACUUAAGCGAAAGCAUUUUUAAAAAUGUUUUCGAAAGUUAGAGGUUCGAAGGUGAUCAGAUAUAACCCUAGUUCUAACAACAAACGAUGCCAGCUAGAAAUUGGGUGUGGCUACCACCAUGGCUCUCUCAGACACUUUUCGGGAAACUAACGCUUUUGGGCUCCG
RNAcentral lists this non-coding RNA (719 nucleotides) under Musca domestica (house fly). RNAcentral's name for it is "Eukaryotic small subunit ribosomal RNA". It matches the Rfam family "Eukaryotic small subunit ribosomal RNA", at positions 1 to 1116 of the family's 1831-position model. The record is from Rfam by way of RNAcentral. Lineage: Eukaryota; Metazoa; Arthropoda; Insecta; Diptera; Muscidae.